Molecule: ribosomal RNA, 253 nt
Filed under: uncultured bacterium
Lineage: Bacteria
Description: partial 16S ribosomal RNA
Rfam family: Bacterial small subunit ribosomal RNA
Source: RNAcentral
UACGAAGGGGGCUAGCGUUGUUCGGAAUUACUGGGCGUAAAGCGCGCGCAGGCGGUCUUCCAAGUCAGUGGUGAAAACCCGGAGCUCAACUCCGGAACUGCCAUUGAAACUGUUAGACUUGAGGAUGAGAGAGGUGAGUGGAAUUCCCAGUGUAGAGGUGAAAUUCGUAGAUAUUGGGAAGAACACCGGUGGCGAAGGCGGCUCACUGGCUCAUUACUGACGCUCAGGCGCGAUAGCGUGGGGAUCAAACAGG